This 1059-nucleotide long non-coding RNA is filed under the name Physcomitrium patens. RNAcentral describes it as "long non-coding RNA (PPAT_LNC013188)". The record is from RNAcentral. Lineage: Eukaryota; Viridiplantae; Streptophyta; Bryopsida; Funariales; Funariaceae.
AAAUAAAAUGGAUGAUACAUUUUAGAGAAUUUUGUAAGUUUGGUAAUAGAUCUAAAGUUAAAAUUUUAAGAGUUUGUGGAUACAUAUGUGUUUAAUAUAUACUAUAAGUUUAAACUUGAUCAAAAGGCUAAAUUGAGGAUUAUUGAGUUUUAAGUGCAUUAGAGUCUCAGAAAGUAGAAUUUUAGGUUUGGUGAGGAUUUAAGAUUUCUUGCAAUUUACUAGUUGGAUUAGAGUAAAAUUUGUGUACAUGGAUAAUAGAUUUGAUUUGAUACACAUAAUUAAAAUUUAAAAAUAAUUAAAUGGUUUGAAAAGGGAGAUUUUAGUACUAAAAAUUUAUUAUUUAGAUUGGAAUAGGAGAGCGGCCAAUACUUGAGUAGAUUUUAGGAUCAAUCUUCUUUUUAGUGAGUUUGAUCUUCUUCAAAAAUAUUUUAGUUGUUUUCAACUUAAUUAUUUAGAGAUGUACAAAAUUUGAAUUAAAAUCAAUAUUUUAGUCAUUAGUUAUUGAGGUUUAAAUCUGUUGUAGGAAUUACUUGGGAUUAUUUAGGAUUUGGUUUAGAUUAGGGUUUAUUCAGGGUUUGGUUUAGGAUUUGGUUUGGUUAGGAUUUAUGGUUUGAUUUAGGAUUUGGUUUAGGUUAGGAUUUGGUUAGGAUUUAGGAUUUGAUUUAGAAUUUGAUAAAGAUUUUGUUAGAAUUUAGGAUUUGGUUUAGGAUUUGGUUUAGAUUAGAAUUUGAUUAAGAUUUGAUUACAAUUUGAUUACAAUUUGACGAAGGUUUAUCUAGGAUUUAUUUAGGAUUUGAUUGGGGCUUAUUUAGGAUUUGAUUAAGAUUUAAUUAGGAUUUUUUUAGGAUUUGUUUACGAUUUGGUUGGAACUUAUUUAGAAUUUGAUUAGGAUUUGAUUAGAAUUUGUUUGGAAUUUGAUUAGGAUUUGUCUAGGAUUUGAUUGAGGUCAUUUAGGAUUUGAUUAAGAUUUGACUAAGUUUUUUCUAAGAUUUGACCUAGAUUUGACCAAGAUUUGACCAAAAUUUAAUUAAUGUUUUUAUUUUAAUAUUUUAUUAAGAU